GCUGGGUAUUGUAGCGCAUGCCUGUAAUCCUAGCGUCUCAGGAGGCAGAGGCAGGAGGAUCUCGAGUUCAAAAACCAGCCUCGGCAAUGGCAAGGCACAGCGCAAAGCAACUCAGUGAGACCCUGUCUCUA
This 131-nucleotide small RNA is filed under the name Marmota monax (woodchuck). The record is from RNAcentral. Lineage: Eukaryota; Metazoa; Chordata; Mammalia; Rodentia; Sciuridae.